GAAAAAAAGAAAAAAAAAAAAAAAAAAAAAGAAAAGCAGGAUUUGAAAAUGUUUCUAGAAAAAUCAUUAAAAACAGUUGUAUGCCAGACAAUCCUCCUGCUCCUUAUCACAAGAUACGGUUUAAAUUGAAAUAGGAAUAUUUUCAACGCAAAGAAAGUUCUUAAAAGCUAAAACCGUUAAAAAUUCUUUUUAUAAAUAAAACAAAAAUAUUUGGAAACUUCAGAGAGUAAAUAAAUAACAAUUGAGAGCAGCAUGCAUGCAAUGGAUAUGUUGUAGACAAGUUUUUCCUCGAGUGAGCUGGAGACAGUGGAGAUUUGCACUUGAAUCCAAAACAGAUGCUUCCACUUUUCACCUGAAAAUGCCAAAUUCUACGUGUCCUAAUAUAAGAUAAUGUUGAAACAUUAAAAUACCACUUAUUUUCAUCAGCUCUACACAAGAAUUCUAAAACACAUACACAGAGCCACACAUGCUCACAUAUAUAUAUACCAUAUAUUCUAUACACAUAUUUGUUUGCAUUUAUUCAUGGUUGAAUAAUUAAAUUUUAAUUUUAUAUUUAUUUAAAUUGACUUUAUGCGAGCAAAUUGCAGCCUGAAAUUUGAACGGUUGGACGAAUUUUUUAGAGUUAGCUCGCUCUAGGAGCAAUUGGAUAAGAAAAACAAUACAAAAUAGCCUUCAACUGCUUUAAAAAGAACUUCCCCUGAAUGAACAGUUAACUAUACAAUGUGAUUCACAAGUUAAAAGCAUUUAUCAUCUAAUUAACAUAUAGAAUAGGGCUUUUUUUAGCUCGUGCCAGAAACUAUUUAUAUUUGAUAACAAAAAAAGUAUAUAAAAUUUGUAUAAUUUUGUAUAUAACAUACAGAAUGUACAUAUAUACAAAAGAUAUACAAAAAAAUAUAUUUUUUCGGCUAUUUAUUGAAAGCGGCUAUAUAGUAGCAUUUUUCCUCUAAUAAAUACAUUUUGAAGAAAAAUAAAAGUUGUGUUCGUGUUGGUCUCUUAUCAACUAGAGUAUAAAUCACAGUAAAUAGCAUAAUUUUAAAUCUAUUUAUAUUAAUAUUUUUUAAAAAAUUAAUAUAUGUAACUGAAUAUGAAAUAAAUAUUAUGAAAAAAGAAAUUUCUUUUUUUCAGAAUUUUUUUUUAAAAAUGUAUUUGUCCAUGAAAUUUUACAAGUUUUUGAAAUUUUUUCGAAAAUAAGUUUUUCAAAAAUCAAAAAGUGGUUUUGAACACUUUUUCAAAAUGUUCCAAAAUACUUUUUUCCUCACUAACAAAACUACAAUAUUUAUGUUUAAAGGGAAAUACAUGUUCAAACAUAAUUUGAAAUACCAUUUUUCAAUUUAAAUCUAAAUGAGUAUUUUUUUUCAAAAAUUACAAUUCUUAUCUUCAAACGCCUACUUAAAAUUCUGUAUUUUUUCAAGUGGAAAAUCUUUUCCUGUUCUCACAUUGGCACAGAUAUUAUAUUUAGUAUCUCUUCUCUCUUGAUUAUAUAAAAGUUUUGAACAUAUAUAAAGAUCAAAAAGGAUUAAAAAAGAAUUAUUUCCUUGACCAGCUAUAAAAAUUAACUUACAACAGAUACUUCAAGCUAUGAAUUAUUCUCACAUAUAUAUGAGAAUCAAUUCCUAUUAAAGCAGAGUUUCUUCCAAUAAAUAAAUUAAUAAGACAAACAUCUCAAAAUUUAUCACCUGCUGUAUCCCAGUAGCAACGCCAACAAAUAAAAAUCAGUUUAACUACUUCAAAAUUAUUAGAAAUCACAAAGUAGGAGCGCCAUAGAUAAAUUCUCAUGCGAUGGAAAUUAUUAAUAUUGUUACCUUUUAGAAUUGCUAGACUUGACAUAAUCAAAGAUAAAUUGACAGAAAUUCAUGAUUAAUUUGCAUUUUUGGAAAACAGAAUGUAUAUGUAAAUGCUAAAGAAUAACCGAAUAAACAUGUGUAAUUGGCAAUCAAGUCAAAAAUAAGAAAGAGAAAGUGAAAGUAGUCAACAAAAAAGUUAAAAGUAAAAAGUUUAAAAUGAUAGAAACUAAAAGAACUCAAUUAUAUCCAACAGAAUGUAUAUCUUAUAUACAGCAAAUUAAAUGAAAGAACGGUUUCAAGAUAAGACUUGAAAUUAAUUAACUCAAAAAACAAGGAUUCAUUUUCGAUACAAAGUUUUACCGAAGUACAAAAUUUGUCAAUGCUCUGCUUAAGCUUUGGCAGCUAAACUUCAAGUUCAAUGAUAUAAAUUGUGUAGAAACACAGUAAACUUAAUUAGGUAUAAACGUGCGAGAAGAACGUCGACAUUUUAUUCGAAAGCAUCCAUACACUACAACCUCAGAGGAAAAGGAAAAGGAAAAGGCAAGAUCGAGAUUAGGGAAUUAUAUAUAAAAUGAUAGCUAGAAGUGGAAAUUAAGUCGUAAAUGCAGGUUUUAUAAUCCUCUAAAGAUACCAAAAACAUGCCAAUUCCAUGCAAACGUACCAUGCAUAAGUAUUUGUCACUGUUUCUCAAGAAUCAUCUUUAGCAGAAUUUAUCAAGACGUUGAUGUUGCUUAAUGCUGUAGUGCUUUAAUUUGAUGCUGAAUACUUCUGUUUUCCUUCUUCCUCACUAUUAUUUUCUCACCACCUUAGCAAGAGUACUUUAUAUAAUAUUCUCCUGCUUCCUUCACAUUACAAAGAAUUUAUAUAGGCUCAUGGCUGUACUCUUAGGCUGUACUUUGCCCAACAGUGGAGUAACUACAAAAAUAAAGAGGACUCAGCAACCCACGCGUACAAGCCCUACCCUACCAAAAGAAAACAAAACACACACACGAAAAAAAAACUCUCACGUUUAAUUCUAAUGGUAUAUACUAAUCAAGAUACUCCAAUAAGAAAAAGAAUAAAUGGAAUUAACAAAAUGAACAGUGGUAAAAAUAGAAAAAGGAGCAUGUGUAAACGGUGUGUUGCUUACGAAAGAGUUGAAAUUCUUGAAAAUUGCUGGCUACAGAUAUUAGCUAGAUUCCUGCAUGGUCUUGGAUGAUGUUUCAAUGUCCUUUAGUGCGUUAUAAU
RNAcentral lists this long non-coding RNA (3011 nucleotides) under Nicotiana tabacum (common tobacco). Its description in RNAcentral is "long non-coding RNA (NTAB_LNC006079)". The record is from RNAcentral. Lineage: Eukaryota; Viridiplantae; Streptophyta; Magnoliopsida; Solanales; Solanaceae.